ACUCCAGUUUAAAGCCUCACAAACAAACAAAUUUUCAAUAAAUACUAAACGAGACGGAGACAAUAAAAUGUCAACCAAAUCAGUAAUCAAAGAUUCCAGACCAACCACUCACCCUCCGCCCCAAAAAUAACAAGGGAUGGGCACUGAGGUCUGAUGCCUAUCAAGCCAUCAAACUGGCAAACGAGUCCCUGUCGCUGGGGCUUAGACAAAAGUCAAAGGACCAAAGGACCGGGCCAAGUGUCACUGACAUCGGAAAUCCGAGGAGGAGCGACGACGAAAUGGAAGGUGGAACCCGCCCCCUCAGAGCUCUGCUCAGCUACGUCCUGGCUGAUUUUAGUCUGCAUUAUUGAUGUUUUCGUUCCGUCUAAAAAGGGAAUCAACAAAAGUGGGUAUGGGGGAGGAUAAAUAUCGAACCACCCUCCUGAUAUCCACGUUCGAUACCGUACACCUCGCCACCCAACCGCCCUUUUGUUUCGUUCGAUUGACGCUUAUCUUAAUGGACCAAACAUAUGGCAAU
Molecule: unclassified non-coding RNA, 517 nt
Filed under: Drosophila ananassae
Lineage: Eukaryota; Metazoa; Arthropoda; Insecta; Diptera; Drosophilidae
Description: GF27927
Source: RNAcentral